This 1189-nucleotide long non-coding RNA is filed under the name Anas platyrhynchos platyrhynchos (common mallard). Its description in RNAcentral is "lncRNA (ENSAPLG00000024445.1)". Lineage: Eukaryota; Metazoa; Chordata; Aves; Anseriformes; Anatidae. The record is from RNAcentral.
AUGUACUUAACUCCAAGAGCCGCGAAUGACAAGCCUUGGUUGCUGCCACUUGCUGCCUUUCGUCUGGAUCCAGUGUUUCCAGUCAGCCAGCUUGAAUUAAUUUACCAUUGGAAACAAGGAGGCCCCAUUCCUACAGCACAUGAGCAAGUGAACAUGGGAAAUGGAUUAGAAUUCUUCAAGAAGAUCUAAGAUGGUACUUUACAUGGCUUCAAAGAACCUAUGAAGUAACUUAAGAAUUUCUCUGUUGCUCUAGAUAGAAAUUUUGAUGUGAUAACACUGUUCUUCAAAAACUAACUUCAGACCCAUACACCGUGGGGAGUAUAGGGAAGAUUUGGAAUCCAAACCUUUAGUUUUCAAUACAGUCAGUUAGUAAACUGUCCCCAUUAUUUCUUUGCAUCUAAUCCUUCUGUUCUCUUGCUAUCUUUUUUGGCAUUCUCUAGGCAUCUCUUUUCACUUAGAAUCCACAAUCUAGAACACUCUUUUUGUAAAUUAUUCUCAAACUUAUUUCUGAAGGAAGAAUUAAAAUCUGUUCUUUAACUAACUGCCUUCUGCUUAGGCUGCCUGUCCAGCAGGUGAGAAAAUUUUCUCCCAAACCUGAAGAGUGAUGGAAUCAGAAGACUACAAGCUGUCCUGGAAAGUAGGAAUUCAGCCCCUUUUUACCCCUGUGGAAGCUGCACCAGCCUGCAGGUUGGAAAAAAAUCGUUGAUCAGUAAACCCAAGAGAGAUCAUCAGGAGGUAUGUGACAGUUUACUAACUUAGUGGUUGUCAUCUGCCUGGAAUGGAGAAUAGCUGUCUCUGAUUCCUAUAUCCCAAACUAUGUCAGCAUCUUAGUUUAAACAGUAGCUGAAGUAAUAUAUUUAGUGUUGAGAGCAGGAAUUGAAAACUAGAACUUUCAGUACUGCUGGUUCUGGAUGACAAUUCACCACUGUGUUUGCAAUACUUGUUUUUUCUCAGACUGUAUACAUCUAACAUUCACUGUUGUAAAGACACUGUGUCAAAAGCAGAAACAAUAUAACAAUAUCCUCCCUCAGCCUGAUUCUUGCACAACAUUAUCUAUGGUCUGACCACAGGCACCAAAUCAAACUUUCAGUGCUUUAGAUUCAGGGAAAACUUAUUUGUGAAUCCCAAAUCAUAUGUGGAAUAAUCAAAAAGGUGUGUAGCAAAGUAUAUCAAUGUUUUUGGCAGUGCA